RNAcentral lists this ribosomal RNA (495 nucleotides) under uncultured bacterium. RNAcentral describes it as "partial 16S ribosomal RNA". It matches the Rfam family "Bacterial small subunit ribosomal RNA", at positions 28 to 507 of the family's 1533-position model. The record is from RNAcentral.
GACGAACGCUGGCGGCGUGCCUAAUACAUGCAAGUAGAACGCUGAAGGAGGAGCUUGCUUCUCUGGAUGAGUUGCGAACGGGUGAGUAACGCGUAGGUAACCUGCCUGUUAGCGGGGGAUAACUAUUGGAAACUAUAGCUAAUACCGCAUAAUAGUAGAUGUCGCAUGACAUUUGCUUAAAAGGUUCAAUUGCAUCACUACCAGAUGGACCUGCGUUGUAUUAGCUAGUUGGUGAGGUAACGGCUCACCAAGGCAACGAUACAUAGCCGACCUGAGAGGGUGAUCGGCCACACUGGGACGGAGACACGGCACAGACUGAUACGGGAGGCAGCAGUAGGGAAUCGGCGGCAAGGGACGGAAGUCUGACCGAGAAACGCCGCGUGAGGGAAGAAGGUUUUCGGAUCGUAAAGGUCUGUUGUAAGAGAAGAACGAGUGUGAGAGUGGAAAGUUCACACUGUGACGGUAUCUUACCAGAAAGGGACGGCUAACUACGUG